RNAcentral lists this long non-coding RNA (1768 nucleotides) under Brassica napus (rape). RNAcentral's name for it is "long non-coding RNA (BNAP_LNC023013)". Lineage: Eukaryota; Viridiplantae; Streptophyta; Magnoliopsida; Brassicales; Brassicaceae. The record is from RNAcentral.
AACCGCUAAUCCGUUCUUCCUCUCGAAAAAGUUCAACCUUUCGACCCACAAAUCAAAUCAGAGAUGAGAUAUGGCGAUUGAUGCUUAUCAGAAGCUACCGUGCUUCUCACCCUUCUUCGUGACUCGGAGCGAGAACAAAGAUGAUGACGGCCAUGAUUCGAUCUUGGCACAAGCAGAGACGAAAUCAACUCAAGCUCUCGAGAUAAGAACCGGUUAACAAGAAACCCAUGUUUCAUCAUCUUCCCAAGAAGAGACAGAGCGAGAGAGGAGCUGACCAACACUGAGAACGGGCUGAUAACAGAGAAGAGAAGAAGAAAAGAGCGAUCUGGAGUCAAUCACCUCGUCAUCUUGUUGCAGACUUGGCUCAAGCUUCAUCAAUGAGCUUAGCUAGCAAGCUCCCGAGACAAGCUUGCCAUAAUUGGCACAAGCUUUUCUCCCCCGACAAGAGUUCACCACAACCACCAUGUCGGCGCAAAACGGAGAAGCACAUCUGGUGCUAGCUAAGCUCAUUGCUUUCUGAUUUGAAUCUUUGCCAGAGAGAUCACGGUGUGUUCCAUCGAUGGACAAAGCUUCUCCUGCAGUAGCUGUACCAUUCAGACAAAGCUCUCAAGACGUUACUGUCGUCGUUCUCUGGCGAGGGAAACAGAGGCGGUUGUGGGUUGGUUCUUAAGCUGAUGAGAUAAAGGAAGAAGCUUUCUUAUGAAAGACCCACCAAAGUUAAAGCCCCACAAAUUAGUUGGUUCGUGUGGUUUAAAUCACUAUGCCGAGGACGUUUGAUCUAAUCUUGGUUUCAAAGAGCCCAAGCUCCUUAUCAUCUCGCCGUCUAUUCCGCAUUGACAACCACUUCAGCGGUCAGCUUCUUCUUGUUUUUAUUGCACAUACGAGAUUCUCUGCGGGAUCAAGGCAUCAUCAAGUUCUGGCCUUUCUUCAGAUUUGUCACUAGAGAAGAAGACCUGAUUCAGGAGACGCUGAGACAUUUCGACUGGAGUUUACUCUUCUGCUGUGACACCCCAAGAACGUUGGAUCAGAUCAUGGAGCCUGAUAUAGUCGGCAACUGUUGUUGAGAAGAGUGUGAUUCUUCUUAUGUUCAAGAAUAAAAAUAUGAGGCACGGCAUUAUCCCUUUCAUUUUAAGUCAUCAGUGGCUCUCACAACGGAACACAACAUCAGUUUCGUCUUGAAACAAUUCUUCUCGCCCUAGUAUCUACUUCAAAAUCACUGACUGUGGCAGCCAUGAGUCUGAUUUCUGUAACACGAUGGGCAACAUGUGAGAUCGAGAUGAUGACGCUUUCAAGCACCGUCAAGGACAGCUUACUGGCGACUUGAGUUCUUUUUUUUCGAAGUUUUACUGGCCUGAGCCCCAACGUCAACAUUUUCUCCUCGUCAUAACUCUUUCUGCGAAAGUGGAGAUUGCAACCAGCCGUUAAGCUCGGCUUCUCAGAUAAUAGCAAUCACAUGCUUUGUUCUCAGCAAGUACGCGAUCUCGGCAAAAGCGAGGAGCAGCUACCGUGAUCUCGUCAAAACGCUGACUACGUUCAUCAUCCUAGUCGUUGUUGCGAUGACACAAAAAUAUGACGAUAUAAGUUUUCUAAUCUUAUUAGUUAAUUAUUUACACCAGAUGCACCGCUUUAUACUUUGCGGCAGUACAAAUAUCUUCACUUAAUAUCUUGUUAGUAAGGUUGAUAUUAAACGUGAUGUCCCAUAUUAAUAAUUGACAUGCUUGCUUGUGCCUCACGGCACCCCAUUUUAUAUAGAAGAUCAAAUUAAUGG